Molecule: long non-coding RNA, 1995 nt
Filed under: Coffea arabica (coffee)
Lineage: Eukaryota; Viridiplantae; Streptophyta; Magnoliopsida; Gentianales; Rubiaceae
Description: long non-coding RNA (CARA_LNC007321)
Source: RNAcentral
CAAUCUCCCUAGCUGGAUCAGAGUCACUCAAUCUCUUCUUCUUUGCUCGCUCUGUUCUCUGAUUCUUGUCGAAGACGACUUAAGUCUUCCGUCUGUGCCUCUAUUUUGUAUAUGAUCUGUCUGAUUCGUAAGAUUCUCCUACCAAGUUUUUUUUUUAUCCGGUAAACAAACCCAAUCUUGGCGAAGCCGGAAACAAACUAAAAACAAAUGCUCACCAGAGCUCCUCUCCUCUCCCCUUCCAUUUUUCUUUUCAUUUCUUUGUUCCUUUCUUCCUUUUUGUUGUUUUUUAUUUGGUCCUUUUUUCUCUGUUUUUCCUUCCCGUUUCCCCCCUCCCCCCUUUUCCCUUUCUUCUCUUUCCUUUUUUCAAUUAUAUGAUUCUAACUGAUUUUUUUCCCUUGUUAGAAUUGGUCUGGAUAUGAAGCUACUAAACGCAUGAGACGCAGAAAUCAUCUUAAUUGGUAAGCUCCAAUAUUUCCCUAAAGUUUUACAGUUUCCUUUAUUUAAAAAAGAAAGACAUUUUCCCUGCUAAGAUUUGUUAAUCUUUCGAUUAGUAACAGGGGGAUGAUAAUGUUCUGGAUGGUUUAGCAAGUCAAAAAAGUUUGAUUUUUUUCAUACCCUUUUCUAAAUAAUCAAGAACAUUAUAAUUGUACUUUUUUGGAUUGAAAUAUCAUAUAUUUCAUAGCAUUUUGCCGAAGGAUUAAUAGGGAAUGCCUUUGGAAAUAUGCUUUCAACAAUCAAUCAUAUGCAUGUAGAAAAAUUACUCCACUUCUUUUGUUUGGUUUGAAAAAUGAAGUAGUGUAUUUUUUGGCUAAUACAGGAAGUUUUCUGAAGCAAGACUUAUCACUCGAGAUAUCACAAGUGAAUAGGUGAGAAAGUUGAAGUUUUGAUGUUAGAAAUCACAUCGGGAAUGGUGAUACAAUUGACCAUAAACCAUUUAUGAAAAUUUGUUUUUUUGCUUCCACUGGACUGGAAUGCACUUACUUUUAUACUUUUUUUCCUUCAUUCUCCCAAUUUUUUUGUCUCCUAUGUUUCGGAAUUUUUUGUCUAAAUGUUUUCUUUUAAGCAGAAAAAGUAGAAAUAGACUUUUGUGUGUGCAUAUAGGGAUUUAAAAAGUAAAUACACUUUUAGAGUUAAAUAAAAAAUGAAUGGUGUUUGUUAAAUUGGUUGGUGCAGAAUAUGAUGAAAUUGGGGGGGGGGGGGCAUUGCAAGAGUUAAUUCAGUUUGAAGGCAUUCUCCAGUUAUGAUUCUGAUACUUGUGUAUUUGCCAUACUGCCUAUCUUUACUGCCUUGAAAUUUAGCGGGGUUCUAUCUAUCUCUAUUGAUAGCAGUUACUGUUUCUCAACAGUUGAAAUGUCUUACAUUUAGCGGUUAGAGCAGCUGAUGUUCUAUGCUCAAAUUUUCCAGCUCUUGUUUAGUUGUUGCUUGGGAUUUUCAAAAAAACUUAAAUUGUCAAUUUUCUUGGUUUCUUUUUCAUGUCUCUGCCAUUGUCAAUUUGCAAUGGAAUUGAACUUAUUUCAUCUUUUGAUGACUUUAGUUUGAAGUUUUUAAUUAUAGUUUUGAAUAAGUUUCAACUAAUUGUGGGAAAGAAAGUUAAAGUGGCAAAAUUUGUUAGAUUGGUUGGUAGAUGAACACUUUGGCCACAAAUGUUGUUAUGAAAGGUGUAUGUUUACCAAAAACCUAUUACUUAGAAGAAAAAUAUCCCUAGAUCUCUUUUCCUUCUUUGACCAUAUAGUUUUGGAUUCAUGGGUUGUUCAAAUUUAGCACAAUGUCUUUGGCUAAAAACUUGGUGAUUAUUUUUGUGUAACAUUUUAUAGCUUUCUUUUUUUCUAUUUGUUUCCAUUUUGCAUAUGAACAAUUUAUUUUUGCUUCUAUUUAUUGUUGUUAACUUUUUGGGUUCAAUUUUAUAGGGGUAAUGCUUCGUUUAGUACCAAUCAGUCAAGCCCAAGCUUUGGCCUUUUAGCAUAGUUCAGCUUUAGACAUGUAAGCUGUUUACAC